RNAcentral lists this ribosomal RNA (31 nucleotides) under Phlebotomus papatasi. RNAcentral describes it as "partial 28S ribosomal RNA". The record is from RNAcentral. Lineage: Eukaryota; Metazoa; Arthropoda; Insecta; Diptera; Psychodidae.
UGCGAUCUCAACUCAAUACGGACUACCCCCC